RNAcentral lists this ribosomal RNA (451 nucleotides) under uncultured bacterium. RNAcentral describes it as "partial 16S ribosomal RNA". It matches the Rfam family "Bacterial small subunit ribosomal RNA", at positions 328 to 793 of the family's 1533-position model. The record is from RNAcentral.
AUGCCAGACUCCUACGGGAGGCAGCAGUGGGGGAUAUUGCACAAUGGGGGAAACCCUGAUGCAGCGACGCCGCGUGGGCGAAGAAGUAUUUCGGUAUGUAAAGCCCUAUCAGCAGGGAAGAAGAAAUGACGGUACCUGAGUAAGAAGCACCGGCUAAAUACGUGCCAGCAGCCGCGGUAAUACGUAGGGGGCAAGCGUUAUCCGGAUUCACUGGGUGUAAAGGGAGCGUAGACGGCGACGCAAGUCUGGAGUGAAAGCCCAGGGCCCAACCCCGGGACUGCUCUGGAAACUGCGGCGCUGGAGUACGGGAGGGGCAGGCGGAAUUCCUGGUGUAGCGGUGAAAUGCGUAGAUAUCAGGAGGAACACCGGUGGCGAAGGCGGCCUGCUGGACUGCAACUGACGUUGAGGCCCGAAAGCGUGGGGAGCAAACAGGAUUAGAUACCCUCGUACG